AACGAGCAAGAAGACAAAUAAGAGCCUUAAUUGCGUCUCCUGAUCAAUGCCAGGAAUUCAGGCGGCACCUGCCUUUGUUUGCAGUUAUUCUCCCGAUGCUGUACCAGAAGAGCUGAAGCCACCCUGGAAUUCACAUGUAGGUAGAGACUAGAGACUGUUCCUGCCAACACAAAGCAAAUAAUAUUCAGGCAUGUUCAUCACAGACAACUUAGUUAUGGAUUAAGUAGCGAUCUUAUGAUCUACUCGAACCAAAUCUUAAAAUGUGCAAAAGUAUUUUAUGUUGCUCUAUGUUGAUAUGAAUCUCAAUCCUUACAUAAAUAAAGAAAGAAAAUUACAAUUUACAAAAGUGAAUAGACAGAAGCGAGUCCCCACAGACCACAACAAUAUGGAGAAGAAGAAAUAGAAAAGAGCUGGUGUUGAAUAAUCCAAUUGUUCCCUUGUUAGCUAUCACAAAACUGUUCAUGUUUGGUACAUUUCCACAACCUGGACACAUUUCUGGUCUGCUACCUAAUUUUGUAAUCAUCUCUGUUUCAACUUCAUAUUAUAUCUCUUCAUUCAAUAUCCACUCGUGCAUUUUUCAAUUAUUGUAUCGUUUUUGUACCAUACUUCAUAUACGCUAUGAUGCGUGCAACCAAAUUAGUAUCAAAUAAUUUUUUUAAUAUUUGUUGCUGAUGGAUAAAUGAUUUAUGAAGGAAUUGAAAUAUAAUAUAUAAAAAUUCAAGAUUUGCAUUUCUUCGUCCCACUAAGACAAUCUAAACUAGAAAUCAAACUUCAAAUUUGAGAAGUAAUGUUCCGAUCUCAAUAAAAUGCAGUUCAUAACCAUUGCCUAUGAAUCCAGGAGGCUAAAAGUCUUGUGCACCUUUGAUAAUAAAUGUUUUUAUUAUUGUUUUCGCAACAAGGGGUUUACAUUGUUCCAUAAUCUAGUUAUCUAUAAUGCACACGAAAGACUCAGUGUUACAAGGCCACAUUUCUAAGUGCAGGAUGAGAUGCCUCCCUGGCUCCAUGCUUUUAUUUCACGCCUCAGUUUCCUUCUCUUCGCCAUUUCUCCUGAUGCUGUCUGCCUCGACGGCCUUUCCCUUUGCGAUCUUCAGAAGAUACCGAAGAAUUUUAACUUUAACCUGGCCUCGUUUCGGAGGAAGCAUUGUCUUCCCUGUGGAACAUGACUCGGCAAAAUAUCUACUGGUAUUGCUCAUCUCACAAUCUCUGUUGAUAGAGUAAAGAUAACACGUCUAGCAAAUAAGUGAGUUCUAAUCAAGAGAUGAAUGCAGCAAUUUAGUAACAAAUGGAUUUGUUCUGCUUUGGUACAAGGCUUGAGAUUCUCUGGUGUGUGUUAUAUAUAGCUUUGAACCAAAAGUGCUGGUCACAUAAAGUUGGGACAUAUUGUGAACAAUCAACACUUAAAAGAGCUUAAGCACUUUUUUGUUUUUAUUGAAAGUUUCUGAGCACUUGCACUCAUUUCAUUUUUGCAAGUUAAAAAGAUUGUGAAUUCCAUCUGCAAGUGCUCAAGCCUGGGAAGUCCUGAGGUGCACAAGUCAAAAGCUGCACAGUCGUGUACAUAUUAUUUGGUUGCAACGUAUGUACGGGCGAGUCCAACGUAUCCUAGUUCGUUGUCUAUUAAUAUAAUAGAAUAAUGAUCUCCAAGGAUCCCGUGAUUUAGAAUCACUAUUUUACGCGUCACUCCAACAACAAUCCCUGUUUCAAUUUCUCAUUAUUUCUAUAAUAAUAUAUUUCAACUUGUAAAGUGAAAAUAGUGGGGGCAAAAAGUAGGAAGUAUUAAAUAGUGGAACCACGAGUGUAGAAAAAGAGUGAAAUGAAUUUUUAUUUCAAAAGACAAAACCGGGGAUAAAAAUUGAGCGACCUAAAAAUUGGGCAUGACUAGUAAUUUUAAAGAUGUCGACAUUGUUGGGGCUGCAUUUAAUGUCAUAUUUCUUAUAUUUGAUCUUAGGAGUUCAUCUAGGAAAGCUGUUGGACUUGCUCUAAGAAGACCAAGUCAAUUCAAGUACCCGUACCACGAACUCGUGUGGUAUGUUCAGCGAAUCAAGACAUGAUUAGAUUGUGUUCUUCGUCACUGCAAACAUGAUGUUCCCCAUUAUAUAGGACCUGGAACACUCUGAAUGGUAAAAGACAAGAAAAACUAAACAUGUCUCCUGCAGUAGUUUUCACCAAAGUGACAGAACACAUCAGAGAUAUUUUUAAGGCCACAGGGGAAGAAAUGCAUGCCAUGUCAUUAAGGUUUUGAAAUUUGUUUAGCUUAUUAUUUCUUUCAAUUGCCUCCAGUACCAAGGUGAAACACUCUUCCUAUUCUUGUAGUAAAGAAGAAGAUAUUACCAUAGCAUCACUCCUAGUUAGAAACACUGCACUACCACAAAUUGAUAGAUGCCAAAAAUUUCCCAACAGGCAGAAAAAAUUAAUGGAGCAGAGAGGCCAGCACCUCGCUAACUCCAGGGCAAAGUCAGUCGGGCUUUGCAACAUAAUACCAGAUCAAGGAAAGACAAACAUACCUGCUUCUAAUUAGCAGACUUCACUUCCAGUUGUUUCUGUGACUUUCUAAAAAGAAUUUCUUUUUAUGGAAAUUAAGAGAAAUGAUGUAUGAAUGGUGAAAGAUAUCGACUCCUUCUACAAGCAGUAUUAACUAUAUUGACGAUAUUAAUAACACUGGCCUGUCUAUGGGCAAGACUAAAGAGACUUUAUAAUGAGUAUAUAUAACCAAACAAACUAUUAUCCACUUCCAAAAAUUCCAUGCAUGUUGAAGCUUAGCAGUUAGUACAAGACUGAAAAAAAUUGAAUUUCCUUACAGAUAGUUUGCUAGCUGUCUUGAAAGGAGCCAAAGGCCAAUUAUAUAUCAUGCUCUUCUAAUCUAGUUGUUGCUUCUUAACAGAACAGGUAUGAAAAAAAAGCUCUUCUGAGGCCUGAGCUCAUUAAAACAGAAAUCCCCAUUACCUAUUAGCAUACUAAAUAAUCCGGGGGAACGCCGAUUGGCGCUAAAACAGAGAUCUCCUCCCAACUCAAUACAAUGUGAAUCCCUACCCAAAUCCCCAUCACUCCAUAAGCAUUGACAUAAUAAUUCGAACUUUUUGUUUUAUCAGAAAUUUUUAUCAUGGAGUAAAUCAAAUAUUGUGCAGAACAAAAAAGACAGAAGACCUAAUUCAGCAAAAUCAGCAAAAUAUUUCAUUCAUCUAUCUUGCGUUUUACAUAUAUAUAUAUAUAUAUAUCUCAGUGAGCAAAAUUACGCAAACUAAUUCAAAAUUUACCUAGUAAUUGAAAGUACAAAAUAGAACAAUAAGUAAUGCAUAUAUCCAUCACUCACAUAAGCUGCUGUUGCUAAUAAUUAUGCAUCAGUGCAAGCCUAAACACAAGCCUGUUUAGGGCAAGACUAAAGAGACUUUAUAAUGAGUUUAAAACCAAAACAAACUAUUCUACUUUUAAAAGUUCCAUGCAUGUUGAAGCUUAGCAGUUUGUACAAGACUGAAAAAAAAUUAAAUUUUCUUACAGAGACUCUGUUAGCUGUCUUGACAAGACAAGUAAUCAAAUGCAAACUAUUUAUUUACGCUGAAACUUCCAUGAUAAACUAUCAGUGUGCAUGACAUGUAUUCAUGCUCUUCUAAUAGCAGUGCUUCUUACAGAACAGGGCCUGAGCUCAUUAAAACAGAAAUCCCAAUUACCUAUUAAAAACUAAUAUAUAACUGGGUGAACGCCAAUUGGCACUAAAACAUAGAUCCCAACUCUAUAUAACGUAAAUUCCUACCCAAAUCCCCAUCACUAAAUAAGCAUUGACAUAGUAAUUAACUUUUCUAUUUUAUCAGAAAAAUUUAUCAUAGAGUAAAUCAAACGUUGUGCAGCAAAAAAAAAGACAGAAGACUUAAUUCAGAAAAAUCAGCAAGAAAUUGCAUUCAUCUAUCCCAUGUUUUACAUACAUACAUAUAUAUAUAUAUAUAUAUAUAUAUAUAUAUAUAUAUAUAUAUAUANACAUAUAUAUAUAUAUAUAUAUCAGUGUGCUAAAUUAUGCAAGCCAAUUCAAAAUUUACAGAGUAACUGAAAGAACAAACUAGAACAAUAAGUAAUGCAUGCAUACAUCCAUCACUAGCAUAAGCUGCUGUUGCUAAUAAUUAUGCAUCACUUGCCCCAGCUGCUGCUAAUAAUCACGAGAGACAGCUCUUCUUGUUCAGGCAUGAGUUCUCUUUCUCUUCAAAUUUUCUUUUCCCAGGUUUGCUGUUUUCAACAGGCUCCUCUUGGUGAUUAAAAUCCAGACAUGCCAUAAUCGAAUCUGUGUCAUAACUACCUAGCUCAUCCAAACAAAAAUCUCCGCUAGGGAGGUCAUCAAGACCGAAACCCCCACCACAAUCAUCCCAAACUGAAAGAUCAUUGAUAUCUACAUCAUCCCAAACUGAAAGAUCAUUGUAAUCUAGAGGUGCAUACAAUUCACCAACAUCACUGUUUAUCACAGCCAAACUUUGUGAGGUUAAAAUCCCGCUUUCCUCAACAUUAUCCACUGCGAUCAGAUUUUCUAAAGUCAGAGUAUUUCUUCCAUCAAGAUCAUCACAAACAGCACCAUCUACUUUAGUCAGAUUUUCUGUUGUCAGACUGCCGGUUCCUCCAAGAUUUUUGUCGCUGUCUUCUUUAAAUCGAGCUUCACUAGUACUUCCAGACACACAAUUAGCCAUUGUGGCACCCGACUUGAGAGCAAUAGUGGGAGUCUUAGAAGAAUCGUGGGUAAUUUUACAAACAACAAUCGUAUCCUCAGCAGAAUUGAGAGGUUCAUUUAUCCCACUCAAUCGAUACUCAUGCAUUGUAUAAGAACCGAGUUUAUUUAAAUCAACCCCCACCCCAAGUGCUGCAGAAUGAGUCUCAUUGAUUUCAAACACCAAAUAUCUGUGUUACCAACUAGAGGGCUGGUUAGUUCUUCCAAGCCAGUAAAAACACUCGAAAUACCAAAAUUAUCAAACAUUUCAUAAUGAGGAGGAAAGCUCAUGAUUGUAUAUAUGAAUAGAAUUGAUAAAACAAGAAUAAAAUGCGCAGAAUGAACAAGACGAAGAGGAAAUUGACAGAAUUGAAAUACAAGCAAUUGAAGAAAAAUAAAAAGCUUAAGAGUUGUCUUCUUCCAUGCCACCUCCUUGAGUUGAGAACAGAUUAUAUAGCUGAGCAGGUUUGAUUGGGCUCAACUAGAUUUAUAGUCUGAAUUGUCUAGAGGCCCAAUUAUAUAAAUAGUCUGGUCCAACCCGAGUUUCAAUACAAGUCCGUUACAAUCCCUUCCCCUUAAAUUAUCCUUGUCCUCAAGGAUAACAGUGUAUGGAAAACAAUUUCCUGGCCCAAGGACAAAAACUAAAGCACUCCAAAACCAAGCACGAGACAAUCUCUCGACGGAAGUGACCAAUUUUUCCAGAAGCAUCAAGUUCUUGCAGAUUACUUCUCUUGGACCAAUACCCGUAUAAGCUUCCAAUUUAUUCAUCAAACCAACCCCAGAAAUGUCUUCUAGAUUAAAUGCUAAAAGCAACACACUCCAGUACCAAGCAUGUCUAAUUAAUGACCCCUCUAAAGAUAGUGGUAACAAUCUAACACCAACAGGUAAUUUCGAAUCAGACUUGAUAUGCGCCAACUUGAGCACUUCAAUUUUUCCCAACUCGUUCCGUAUGUCUUGGGUAAGUUUCUCAAAACUUUCUAGUGCUUUAAUAGGACCAUUAUGAAUAACAACAAGAAUUAAACUUACUAAUUCAAACCUCAACUCAACAAACACAUAUUUCAUGUCUCCAUUGUCAAGCAUGGUAGUUUCUUUACCUUUAGAAAUCAGAAUGCUAUCAGGAUAUCGAUCAAAAUUAUGUGUGAUAUCACCUGGAUCAAACACCAACACGAUAUCAUUCCAAAACCAAGCAACGACGAGUCCAUCAGAUUUCUUUUUGACGACAUCAAAAAUCUGUUUAUUGUCGGUAUGAACCAUUGAAAGUUCUUCAAAAUCAGUUAAUAUACAUUCACCCCUGAAAAUCCCAACAGCCACACCAAAAUGCUCCGUCUGCAGCAACUUUACUAUAUUAUCAUGGGCUUGUCCUGCCAAGUGAGGGUUUCCUGAUGUCGCAUUGACCUCUGUAGAAUUCUCACUAACAACAUAAACAGAGACUCUUGAUGUGCCUCUGCCAGGAGCAAAAUUAAGCGCAUCAUUCAUAGCAAAGUUGCCUGACUUGUUAUCCAACUCAUAAGCUAUUGCAGGCUCCUUGAUGGUUACCAUAUACAAGAUACCCUCAGAAACUUCUCGCAUGGUAAUCAUUAGGAAUACCUUUUCUGCAGAAGCUUGUGUCUCUUCCUCAUGAUAUGUAGGCUCAUCAAUAACAAAAACACUGUCCACAAGUUGCAAGACAAUAUUAACAUUAAUAUCAAAACUAUAUGUUGAUCCUUCCUUUUUACCAAAAUCUUCUGCCACCCCUCUAGAAGAGCCUCCAAUUUUAACAACACUUUCCAUUGUGCCUUCACAUCCAUUAAAUGCACCUUUAAUUUUACUCCCACUUGCUUCCUCGUUAGGUACCUUGGUAUCAAUAUCAGAGAUAAUUUCCAGACCAAAUAAUGGCAUCAAGAUCAAGUUCUCGACUAUAAUUGCUCCCACCAAUUUCCUAACAGCCAAAAUGGUCGUGAGAGUAUCUGCCUCGUAAGUAGCCAAAACAUAAGCACCAUUCUCCGGUUUUAAGAGCUGAAUCAACUCAGAUGAAGUAAAUAAUGUAACACCAACAUCAAAUGCAAAGACAUUCCAUGAAUCCGGAAGAAACUCAUAAGCUGUGCAUGUUGACAAAAAUGCAAAAACACGAUGAUGGAAGAACUCUACUUCUGAUUUUAACAUUAUAUUUGGUAGCCCUUGAACCUUACCGUACUCGUUUUCAUGUAGUUUGUAAGUAGUCAUAUCAUUCUUAGCAAGUUCAAAUGUAGAAUUUGGUUUCAAAGCUCUAAGGUUCAACUCAGCAUGGAUAGUCAUGGACUUAGUAGCAUAGGUAGUUGCUAGUGUGGUAUCGAAAACAUACCCUCUCUCCGAACUUUCAUCAAACACUUUGCACACAGACAUAGGAAGUGGCAAUUGUAAUUGUUCUGAACUUUCCGAAUUCUUAGUUCCAAGUUUGCUCAAAUCAUCCAGUUCUACAAUAACAGCAGAAUCAAUUUGAGGAAAUGGACUUACAAAUUUCGUGGAAACGUCUUCUAACUGAUGCUGCAAAGUGCCUUCAUCAACUUCUUUUGACUUCCCUUGUGCUUUCUUGUCAUUUACAUUUGACCUGUUUGAAAAAUUGUCCUGCAUCUUCUCAAUUAUCGCAAUCAUUUGAGUAAGUUUGUCUUCCCACUGGUCCACCUCAUCAUUGGCAGCAGCUGUAAUCAUCGGUAUGUUAGUGAGAUGUGGGUUGUCCAUAAGUUUGGGAGAAUCAGCAAUUGCACUGGUGGGUGUUGCAGGAGUGGUUGAUGCAAGGGCAUAAUAAGGUUGUCCAGUAGAAAGUGUGGUGUGUAAAUUUAGAGUGGACGGUAGGGUGUAGAAAUGAGGUAAGGAAAGUGGUGGUGGCAGAGGCGGUUCAAUAUGGUGAGACACAUGUGUUGGUGGUGUAUACUCAGCUAAUUGAGAAAAAUUAGGGUUGCUGGCCUGAUGUGGGGAAGGAAGCUGAUUCCAUGGGAUGUCAUUCACCAAAUCCAUGUUAUCCAUUUCCGAGGAACGCCAGCUCUGAUACCAUUUGUUACCAACUAGAGGGCUGGUUAGUUCUUCCAAGCCAGUAAAAACACUCGAAAUACCAAAAUUAUCAAACAUUUCAUAAUGAGGAGGAAAGCUCAUGAUUGUAUAUAUGAAUAGAAUUGAUAAAACAAGAAUAAAAUGCGCAGAAUGAACAAGACGAAGAGGAAAUUGACAGAAUUGAAAUACAAGCAAUUGAAGAAAAAUAAAAAGCUUAAGAGUUGUCUUCUUCCAUGCCACCUCCUUGAGUUGAGAACAGAUUAUAUAGCUGAGCAGGUUUGAUUGGGCUCAACUAGAUUUAUAGUCUGAAUUGUCUAGAGGCCCAAUUAUAUAAAUAGUCUGGUCCAACCCGAGUUUCAAUACAAGUCCGUUACAAUCUGCUCUCCCCAAUCAAAUCGCCCUUAUCAUCCCUGAUUUUCUUCCGACUUGUCUUGCCAACCCAAGUCCCACACCCCGCUUUUUUGGAGGUGUUUUUGGAAGCAGCACUGCUUGAUAGUUUGGACAAUCUGGUGAACACAAACAUGUACUUCUGAGAGGGUUUAAUACGAGGGGACUUGAGCCAACAUUCAUCGUUGGGAUCAAAAACUUGCCAUGGAUUGGAACAAGGGCCAUACACUUCUCUGUUCUUGACAAGAUUGCAUGAGAAUUGUUUUCUGGUAAUCCUGGGCUUGAGAUAAUCAGCGAUUAAUUCUUGAUCAAAGGGAUCAAACCUCCACCCACUCCUUGUUUCAUCAUCAUCUCCCAUCCUCUUGCUUUUUUACACACUCAAACUCAAGCGCUUCUUGCAAAGAACAGUAGAGUAGUUGUAAACAGAUAUAGAAACUUAAAAGAAGUUGUAAUCAUAACAAUGUGGAUUCUUCCCUCUUUAUAUAUAUAGGCUUCGUUGAGGGUUCUGAUUUUCUGAGUAAGUGCCAGGUAAGGAAACCCCUGUCGAACGUUGGGGUUUCCAUCCCGGUCUUGUUUAGCAGGGUUCAUCAUACUUGCGCUGGAAAAACAGAACUUUUGAUUUAUACUUUAUACAAGAUAUGUAAUUAUGUAGUCUUAAUAAUUUAGAUAAUAUCAAGUUAAAUAUAUUACAUAUAAAAAUAAAAUAAAAAUUGUUUAAUAUAUAAUAUUAAUUAUAAAAAAUAAUAUGAAUUUUAACAUAUUAUAUAAAAAAAUUAACAAAAUAUAAAAAUAUUGUUUAAAUAAGAUGUUAUAUUAAUAUUUCAUUGAAACUAUAAUAUGUGUUUAGGGAUAAAUGAGCUGUACAGAGUUAAAGUUUUAAGUUCUGAGCUCGGCUCGAAGAAAAUUUGAUAUAUUUGAAUUAGGUUUGAAAUUUUGAAUCAGAGUCAAAAGGAUAUUGAUAAAAAUUCAUAAUUUGUAAUGUUUGGCUCGAUGUAAACUAGAUUUAAUAUAUAAAAUUUAUUUAAAUAUAAAUAUUUAUGAGUACGGACCCAGAAAUUUAACUAAGUGGGGGCAGACAACACACAAAAAUCGCUAAGCAAGAUUUUUCACGACGAUGGUUGCAUCAAUGCAGUCCUCCUAGUUUAAGUAGAUGAUAAUAGAGAAGACAUCAUAUCGUGCCUGUUAUAUUUUAUUUUGAAUCAUGUGAUGGCAACGAAGUUCUUGGUGACAGGAUUAUUAUUUUGGAAAAAGGGAUGUUAUUUUAUAUUAGUUAAUGCGCGUAUACAACUCUAUCUUAUCCCGACUCUUCAAUUUGAGUCAGAAACCUGCGUCGUAGCAGUCGAACAUGAAUAAAAAAUAAGGCUUGAAGAAAAAAAAACACUCUUUUGAAACAGUCAUGCUAAACAACUCAUGUAAUCAAUGAUAUCCAGAAAUCGGAAAUUUAAUAUAAUAUUGAAUGCUAAAGCAACUUCACUCAAUAUGAUAUUCAAUUAGAUUUUCAGGAUGGCGAGCAUGCUAGUCAACCAUUUUUCGCCCCUAUAUAUAUUGAGUUCGUUCUAAUUUUGGCAACAUAUAUUGAUCAUGUAACCAAUGAUAUCCAGAAAUUGGAAAUUUAAUAUAAUAUUGAAUGCUAAAGCAACUUCACUUAAUAUGAUAUUGAAUUAGAUUUUCAGGGUGUAACAUGGGUUUUCCUGCAUAUUCAUCAUACAGAGUACUUUGUGGUUCAGGUGAAACUGACGAUGACGAUGGUGGUGAUGAGCAUAGAAGAAGCAGUCUGUAGAAGUUCAGCUACAUCUUAAAACCAACUCAGGACAAAAUAUCUUAUAAUCCUAUUCAAGCUACAUUUUAUUAUUUAUCAUGUACAAUCCAAAUUAUAGGGCCGUUUGGCUUAGCUUAAAAAAAGUUACUUAUUACUUAAAAUAAAAAAGUGGAUUAUAAGUGAUAAGUAGUCAUGGACUUAUAAAUUGAUUAAGUAUUUGGAUGAUUAAACAAAUAAGCAACUGUGGCAAGAGAAAAAAGCUACACAUUGGAGCUUCUUGCCACAUAACCCCCAAUAAGCCCAUGAAACUUAUUUGCCAAACGGUCAUGCAAAAGUAGAAGCUAGCUUAAAAACAAAAAAAGCCAACUUUUUUUGUUAGCCAAACCACCACUAAAUCUCCCUGGAUUUUUCUGAUUUGGAGAGUGAUUCACUAUUGAGUUCUAAGUAAAAAUAUCUGAUAACACUAUUGAUCCGAUCAUGCUAAGCUGCUACAUCUGACUUACAAGUCACAAGUACCUCAAGCAUUAGGAACUGAAUCACAAGGUGAAAACAUUUAAGUUAAGUGGUUAAGACUAUGACUACAGAAGAGUUCUUGCUGAGAAAUUCUCAUUCAUUUCUUCAUAGAUGCAAAUGAUCAGAUACAUUGACUCUUAAAGGCCUCAUUCCUUGGACCACUUAACACUCCUAUGACAAGACAAAAUAACAGUAAACUAAAGAGACAAAUUAAGCAAGCAAUAAGGAUAGACAACAAGACUGAUAUCAACUGCCAGCUUUUGAGACAGUUACUACUUCUGGACUUUGACUAUCUUAACAAAAUAAGAGGCCUGAUCAUGGUCCUUAAUACUCCCCCUCAAGCUGAGUGUGAAGGGAACUGAACGCCUAGCUUGCUGAGAAGAAACUGGUGUUGCUCAGUAGUUAACACCUUUGUGAAAAUAUCUGCAACCUGUGCAGAUGUUGGAACAUAAGUUGGUUUUAUAUGACCUUCAAUAGCUUUGUCCCGAAUAAAAUGGCAAUCAAUUUCCACAUGCUUUGUCUUUUCAUGAUGAACUGGAUUUGCAGCAAUAGCAAGAGCUGCUUGAUUGUCACAGAAAAUAUUUGUGGUGCCAAGAUUCUUCAACCCCAACUCUUUAAGCAACUUUUUCACCCACAUAACUUCACACACUGUCAUAGCUAGAGAUCGAAAUUCUGCUUCUGCUGUGGAUCUUGCAACCACAGAUUGUUUCUUGGACUUCCAAGCAAGAGGAGAUUUGUCUAACAUGAUACAGAAACCAGUUGUUGAACGCCUAGAAUUUGGGCACCCUGCCCAAUCACUAUCACAAUAAGCCUCCAGUUUAGCUCCAGAACUAGAUGCCAGGAGUAUGCCUUGCUCUGUAGAACCUGCUAAGUAUCUAAGAACUCUUUUAGCAGCUUGAUAGUGGACUGUAGUAGGACCAUGCAUGAACUGGCUUAGGACAUGGACUGUAAAGGCUAUAUCUGGCCUGGUUAAUGUGAGAUAGAUAAGCUUUCCAACAAGUCUUUGAUAUGAUUCUGGAUCAGGAAGAGGAUCUCCAGCUCCUGCUAACAGCUUAACAUGUGUGUCCAUUGGAAGUUUCAAGGGCCUACAGUUGAGAAGAUGGUACUCUGCAAGCAUGUCAUUGAUGUAUUUUUUCUGAGAUAAAAAUAUCCCUUGACCACUUCUAUCAACUUCAAUACCUAGAAAGUAUCUGAGUUCUCCAAGGUCUUUCAUUUUGAACUGAGAAUUCAGAAACUUCUUUACUUCAUUAAUUGCCUCCAUGCUAUUUCCUGUAAGGAUCAUGUCAUCAACAUAGGCUAGAAUGGCUGUAAAGACUCCAUUUUCUUCCUUUGUAAACAAAGAUGAGUCUGCUUUGGACUGAACAAAUCCUAUCUGCUUCAAGACCUUGCUGAGUUUCUCAAACCACUCCCUAGGAGCUUGCUUCAGACCAUACAAAGUUUUUAUCAGCCUACACACUUUCUCAUGAAACUUGUUGUAACUGGAAUAUCCUCCUGGUUGAUCAACAUUAAAUCUGAAUCCAGGACCUUCAUAUCCUGGAGGAAGUCUCAUAUAUACUUCUUCUUUUAAUUCUCCAUGCAAGAAUGCAUUUUUUACAUCCAUUUGAUGUGUGAUCCAUCCAUUUAUUGCUGCAACAGUCAAUAAUGAUCUCACUGUCACUAGUUUAGCUACAGGAGCAAAUGUUUGCUCAUAGUCCACUCCAUACUUCUGUCUAUUUCCCAUAAUCACAAGCCUUGAUUUAUAUCUGGUCUCAUCUCUUUGAGGAUCAUACUUGGUUGUAUACAGCCAUUUACAAUCUAUAGCAUGUUUUCCUGGUGGAAGAUCAGUAAUCUCCCAUGUGUUGUUCCCUUCCAAAGCCUCCAAUUCUUCAUUCAUGACUUGUAACCAUUGUCUCUGUUGUGCAGCUUCAGAGAAAUUUCUUGGAUCCUGAGUUUUGUUUACUUCUGCCAUAAAGCAUGAGAAUUGGGGAGUGACUUGAACUUUUGCCACCUUUUGAACUGCAUUUGCUCCCACAUGAUAAUCUGAAUGCCAUGAUGGAGUUGUGUGUUGCCUUGUGCUUCUUCUCACAGGCUGUGAAAUUUCAGACUCCUCAUCUUCUGAGUCUUCUUGGUUUUCUCUUCCUGCUUGAUUGUCAAUGUCAGAAUUAACCCAUGAUGAUUGAGUCUGAUUCUGAGUAGGCUUGUCUCCACCUGAAUCAGUGGCUGAUGUUGAGUGAAAAAUAUGAUGAGGAUAUAUACUUUCAUAGAAUUUUACAUCUCUUGAAACAAAAGAGAUACCUGUCAACAGAUUUUGAAGUCUAUAUCCCUUCUGUUUUGCUGAGUAGCCAAUGAAGAUACAUGGCACACCUCUAGCCUGAAACUUGUCUUUCUCUCUAUUGGAUUAUAGGCAAAUGCAAGACAUCCAAAGCAUUUUAAGUGCUUAUAGCUAGGCAUCUUCUUGUACAGCAGCUCAUAAGGAGUUUUUCCCUUCAGAACAGUGCUAGGAAGUCUGUUUGUAAUAUGAGUGGCAGCAAGAACACAAUCUCCCCAAAAUUGUGGAGAGAGUCCUGCCUGAAAUCUUAGGGCCCUUGCCAUUUCCAAGAUGUUUCUAUGCUUCCUUUCAACCCUUCCAUUUUGCUGAGGUCUCUCAUUGCAGGAUGUUUGAUGAACAAUUCUCAACGUAUCAAAUAAUGCUCUGCAGUUGCUAUCAUCAAACUCAAGAGCAUUAUCUGAUCUUAUAAUUUUUACUUUCUUCUUGAACUGAGUUGCUGCCAUCUUGAUAAAGCUCUUAAUUGCAUUAUAAGCAUCAGACUUCACUUUUAGUAAGUGAAUCCAUGUUACUCUAGAAAAGUCAUCUACAAUAGUGAGAAAAUACUUGAAUUUUCCUCUAUAAGCAACCUUGUAUGGCCCCCAAGUAUCAAUAUGAAUCAUUUCAAAUGCAUUUUUUGCUCUGGACUCACUCUUAGAGAAAGACAACUUAGUGAAUUUUGCUAAUGGACAUGUCAAACAUACAUCUUGAGUAUCCUUUAAUCCAAGAACUUCAAUUGCCAUAAUUCUUUUCAUAGGUGCAUGACCUAAUCUCUGGUGCCAGAGAGUUUCUUUACUCAAGUUUGGCACAUCUUUAAUUACAGUGGGAACCUCCUUACAUGCACUAGCAGUUAGAGCCUGUUUAUUUUCCUCAGGUUCAGUUCUCUUAACCCCAUGAGAUUGAUUUUUCACUCUAUUUAAGGUCUUUUCUAAGGGCUCAUUAACCAAAUAAUAAAGACCAUUCUCACUUCUUCCUAUAGCCUUCACUUCAUCAGUAAUUUUAUCUUGUAUAAUGCAGUAUAUAUCAUAGAACAUCACUCUACAUGCAUUAUCUUGACAUAGCUUAUUCACAGACAACAGAUUUUGCUUGAAUGCAGGAAUGUAUAACACAUUUUUAAGAGUUAUCUCAUUUUUAAGUCUUACAUCUCCACUAUGAGAUAUCUUAGAGGUUUCACCAGUUGGCAGGUUUAUAAAGGGAUGAUUUUGACACAGAGAAACAUUAUUUAUGAUGCUAAAGAUUCCAGUCAUAUGAUCUGAAGCACCUGAAUCUAAGAUCCACUCAUUGCAACUUAAGGAGUCAGCAUAGUGACAAGAGACCAUACCUGCAUAGUGGCCUUCUAUCUCAUCAUCAGUGUCACCUCCACCUUUUGAUGAUGAGGGGAGCAUCUUGAGAAGCUGCUCGAGUUGUUGUGGAGUAAUUGUAUUAGCACUGCUUGUGACAAAUCCUCCAUCAUUGUGAUACUGACCCUGAGCAUUAGCUGCAAUUCUGGGACCACUUCCUGUUCUUCCCUUAUUCCACCUAUGUUGAGUAUUGCUUCCUCUGCUUCCUCUUCCUCUGAAUGACCCUUGAGUUGGCCCUUUUAUCUUGGGAUGCCAGCUUGGAUACCCCACAAUGGUCCAGCAUUUGUCACUGUUGUGGCCAUUUUUACCACAAGCUGUGCAUUGAACAAUUAGCUGAGAUUGAGCAUUAGCAGAUACUCCCCCUGUGCUCUUACUGAACAUGGCCAGGGUCUCAGAAUCUUCUCUUCCAUGCCCCAAGACCUCUCUCUGGGCUUCUUCUUGCUCCAAGUAGCUACAAGCAGUCUCUACAGUGGGAAGUGCCUCCAUCAUGAGCAGCUGACUUCUUUGAGCACUAUAUACCUCAUCAAGACCAUUCAGAAACUGGAAUAAUUUUUGCUCAUCUUUCUGUUUUGUAAGAGCAUCCAUAAAUCUUGUGAUAUCAGCUGUUGUUUCAGUGAUUCCUGGCAAACAAUUUAGAGACUCAAGCUCUUCCCACAGAGACCUCAUUUGUGUGUAGUAUUCACUUAUGUGUUUUCCUCCUUGUCUGGUCUCAUACAGCUCUUUAUUGAGCUUGUAUUUUCUUGAGCCAUUUGUAAGGGCAAAUCUUUGUUCAAGAUUUGUCCAGAUCUGGUGAGCAUUGCUCACAAACAUGAUUGAGUUCUUGAUGGAUUCUGACACAGCUCCAAAGAUCCAUGAAAUAAUCAUGUUAUUACAUGUAUCCCAAGCUUCUGCCUUCACAAUAUCUUUUGGAUCCUUGGUUAUGCUUUCAGUAACAAAUCCAAGCUUCCGUUUUGAGGAGAGUGCAAUCUCCAUAGAUCUUUUCCAGGUUCUAUAAUUAGAUGAACCCUGGAGCUUAUCUAUUACCAUAAAAUUGUUCCCAUCAGAUGGGUGAAGAUACAAAGGGUUUGUUACUUCUAUAGUCGUCAUCUAUCUGGGAUUUCAAAGUUACCUACUGCUGUGAGCAACCUGGCUCUGAUACCAUGAAAACAUUUAAGUUAAGUGGUUAAGACUAUGACUACAGAAGAGUUCUUGCUGAGAAAUUCUCAUUCAUUUCUUCAUAGAUGCAAAUGAUCAGAUACAUUGACUCUUAAAGGCCUCAUUCCUUGGACCACUUAACACUCCUAUGACAAGACAAAAUAACAGUAAACUAAAGAGACAAAUUAAGCAAGCAAUAAGGAUAGACAACAAGACUGAUAUCAACUGCCAGCUUUUGAGACAGUUACUACUUCUGGACUUUGACUAUCUUAACAAAAUAAGAGGCCUGAUCAUGGUCCUUAAUACAAGGUAACAAGCAUAGCAUUAAUAACAGGGGAAAGUAGAUAGAUAACCCAGGAAGUAGUCAAAAGUACCAAUUCUUAAAAUGCAAAUUGCAUGAUAACUUUUAAGCCAAUGUAUCAAAACAUCCAUUGCUGCUUUGACAAAAUAAUCAUAUGAUAUAUAGCUAUCUAAAAUCUUGACAUAAUCAAUUGUUUUGGUGUCAAAUACCACCUCAUCUCAAAAACCGGAGUCUACAUCAGCACUCAAUGAACAAGAACAGAGUAGCUCGGAAGUAUAUUUAUUUUGGAAAGAAAUUGUAGUUUGUCUUCUUUCUCAUUCACCUUUGUAGUUCAAAAAAGGGCUCAACAGAAUAGGAGAAAAAACUUAUGCAGUAGCAGCCUUCAGAUAUGCGAUGAGGUCCGCACGUUUUUGUGGCUUCUUCAGUCCCGGGAAAACCAUCUUAGUUCCAGGAAUAUACUAUACCAAAAGAAACAUAGAGGAGAAAUCGUUAGAACAACUAGACAAUAGUAAUAGGGUUUCCCUUGGAUGUCCAUAAAUAUUACACAGAACAUUAACUACAUUUAGCAUAUAAUUAAACUUAUGAAAUCUCUUUGACACACAAAAAAAACAUAUGAAAUCUCCACAACUGAACAAUUUGCCCUACAAGAACUCUAAAAAUAGUCAAAACAUUAAUAAAUAUAACAGAUAUUUACCCAAAGAUACACAUAUCAGCAAACAAAUAGAACCCUAAUUAAUACUUCAGGUCUGAUCCAUCACAGAGAUUGCAAUUUGUUAGAUAAGCUUUUACCGAAAGUGCAAGCUGCAACAUUCACCAGAACAGAAAAGCAUAAUUCGUUACCGCUAAUAAAUUAGCUGAAUUAAAAAAACAUUGCAUUGACUUUCAGUUUCAAACAAAGUAAAAUCCCAUAUAUGUAAUUCAUAUAGCUCAUACAAAAACACACUUUUACAUGCUGCUUUCUCUGAUAUACAGUAAUCUAUAUAAUACAAGUAAAUCAUAUAUAUGUUCACACAUAAAAUACACUUCUAAUAUUGACAAGUCGUAGAACACUUAGGAUAUCUUCAUUCUAAUCACCUCAUUUUAUAGAGCAUGACACAUGAACAUAAAAAUUCGAUAUAAAAGGAAAAUGGCUGUGCGAAGAAUAUUGUCAAUACCUUCUUGGGGUUGAGCAAGUAAUCAUACAAAGUGUUCUCUUCCCAGAUCACAGCCUUGCCCUUGUUAGCAGCCGAGUAGGAAUAUCCGGCAGUUGUUCCAGAUUGUCUUCCAAAAAGCCCAUUAAGAUUAGGUCCUGAAUAUUCAAAAUUAACACCAAUUAUAUCAGAAUUCAUUCAUUCAUCAAGCAAAACCAAAACAAAUAAAUCCAUUCCUCUCUGCAAUGAAUAUUUCUCACCAAGGCACAAAAUACCCUAAAAUGCAUCAAACAAUACAUAAACACCCUCAUCUCAACAUACCACAAUCACUAAGCCCCUUGUAAAAAACCAUCAAAAAUUCGAGAUUUACAAGAUACAAAGCAAAAUAUCGUUUCAACAAAUAUACAUACACACAACCACGAUCCCUAUGAUUCCAUUUAAAUCAAGCAAAAUAAACUACAGAUCUAAACACCAUAAAAAACCCCUAAUUCAAUAGAAGAGCCAAGUCAUCAAUGCCAUCAAAAGCAUCGUUACACAUCAACGAGCAAGAAGACAAAUAAGAGCCUUAAUUGCGUCUCCUGAUCAAUGCCAGGAAUUCAGGCGGCGCCUGCCUUUGUUUGCAGUUAAUCUCCCGAUGCUGUACCAGAAGAGCUGAAGCCACCCUGGAAUUCACAUGUAGGUAGAGACUAGAGACUGUUUCUGCCAACACAAAGCAAAUAAUAUUCAGGCAUGUUCAUCACAGACAACUUAGUUAUGGAUUAAGUAGCGAUCUUAUGAUCUACUCGAACCAAAUCUUAAAAUGUGCAAAAGUAUUUU
This 17348-nucleotide long non-coding RNA is filed under the name Daucus carota (carrot). RNAcentral's name for it is "long non-coding RNA (DCAR_LNC001763)". Lineage: Eukaryota; Viridiplantae; Streptophyta; Magnoliopsida; Apiales; Apiaceae. The record is from RNAcentral.